CGGAGGUAUCCCUCGCCGGCCAGCUUCUUAGAGGGCACUACGCCUUUCAAGCCGAAGUUUGAGCAAACAGGUCUGUGAUGCCCUUAGAUGUUUGAUGCCGCAACGCGCGCUACACUGAUGUAUCACGAGGCAUAUAGCCUUGGCCGACAGCGCCCGGGUAAUCUUUGAAUUUCAUCGUGAUGGGGAUAGAUCAUUGCAAUUGUUGGUCUUCAACGAGGCAAUUCCUAGUAAGGCGCGCAGGUCAUUCAGCUCCGCGAUUGGACAUACGUCCCUAGCCCUUUGUACACAUUGUCCCCCCCGCCCGUCGCUCCUCCCGCUUGCCUGCUCCGGUGAAGUGUUCGGAUCGCGGCGACGUGGCGGUUCGCUGCCCGCGACGUCGCGAGAAGUCCACUGAACCUUAUCAUUUCGAGGCCGGCGCCGUCGUCCCCCGGUUUCCGUCGGUGCCCCUGCGGCCGGCUCCUUG
RNAcentral lists this non-coding RNA (463 nucleotides) under Ipomoea nil (Japanese morning glory). Its description in RNAcentral is "Eukaryotic small subunit ribosomal RNA". It matches the Rfam family "Eukaryotic small subunit ribosomal RNA", at positions 1384 to 1831 of the family's 1831-position model. Lineage: Eukaryota; Viridiplantae; Streptophyta; Magnoliopsida; Solanales; Convolvulaceae. The record is from Rfam by way of RNAcentral.